GACAGCACUUUCCAACCUUGCCAAGCUGAUUUUUUUUUUUUUUAAGCUGCAUGUGUCUUAAUGACCCUCAUCGUUCCUCCACCUGAUAGUUGCUCUGCAGCUCAUGGUCACCUCUGGCUCCUGAGCAGGAGUCACCUGUGGUACUAACUAACAGAACAGUGUCAGCAGUGGCUGUGUACUACCCUCCCCCAGUGGUGGUCCCAAAUACCAGCUGGCGGAAAGUACCUCAUUAUUGUGGACUGAGCAACUCUUGUGUCUUUCUGAAGUCCUAAGUGCUGCUGGAGCAGGUCAGAAAGGAGGAGAAGGUGGAGCGCUGGGCUUGCCUCCCCUGGGGAAGUUGAGCUGCUGCUCUUCAGGAUCUACCCUGGGAGCAGACUACAGCCCCACAUAACAUAAAGCAUCUACAUAAAAAGUUUUGAAAUCCUCGAAGUCUGAAAGAACUGCAUUUGAGAUAUCAAGGAUCAGGAAAAAUAUGACUUGAAAGAGCUAAGACUUGCUGAGCAAGCGCUGGAUCCGUGCACCUGGAGUACAGGAGCAUCAACACAUUACAUUACAAAAUAAAAUAUUUCUGUGGUGUAAAUCA
This 583-nucleotide long non-coding RNA is filed under the name Phasianus colchicus (ring-necked pheasant). RNAcentral's name for it is "lncRNA (ENSPCLG00000007250.1)". Lineage: Eukaryota; Metazoa; Chordata; Aves; Galliformes; Phasianidae. The record is from RNAcentral.